Molecule: long non-coding RNA, 878 nt
Filed under: Oryctolagus cuniculus (rabbit)
Lineage: Eukaryota; Metazoa; Chordata; Mammalia; Lagomorpha; Leporidae
Description: lncRNA (ENSOCUG00000031492.1)
Source: RNAcentral
CAGUCACGAAAACCAGCUCGUACGCCCGCGGCAACAGCAGGAGGGACGGGCUGGGGCGGUCAGUUAGCUCACGCACAGUCUAAUAUUCCGGGCCCGGAGGGGCACGCCCGAGGACCCUUGGCAGGCUGUGCUGUUGUGUGUUUGUAGCGCCCGGCCCGGCCGAGGCCGCGAGGAGCCCGCCGCGCACCCGGCGCACGGGGCCGCCGCCGGACGCCUCCAUUGUGUGACCGCGACCAGGGCCGCUCGCGCAGGGUCCUCAGGCCGCUGUCCCCUGCAGCCACCGUGAGUCCUGCUUCUGCCGCCCCUCUGGAGGGUCUCGGGUUGGAUCCUGUCACUGCACCUGCACGUCCAGGAGCCGCCGUCGCGUGAGGUCAGGGAGUCGCGCCUCAAGGUCAGGAGAGGAGGCCGGGUGCUGCCCACGAGGGAAUUCCCCGCCGGAGCCCAGGAGCCAGGAAGAUGUGCUGACUCCGGCGAGGCCGAGGGGCUCCUGACCGCCGGCACGCUCGCCCUCGAGCGCGGGGGACACACUGUGCGGUCCUUUCCCUCGAAGGGAGCGUCCGGGACUUCCCCACGAGCGGAGGCCCCAGGGCUCGGCCGCCAGCUCUGGCGUUGGCAGCCCUUGGGAAUGUUGACAACUCAGGAUCUCCAAGGCGGGUUUCGUGAGUGAGUCCAGAGGCGCGCGAGGCGAAUGCCGCUGUAGCGCUGGGAGGGGCACUAUGCAGGAAGAAGCCUUCCGUAGGAACGCAGGCAGGGAGACGCUCAGGCUGGCCGCACGCCCGCCCAGCGGAGCCAGCCCCAGAUAGGCGGCCGCCAUGGCCAAGUGAGAGACUGGCUGACAGCAGUCCCGCAGCCUGCGUGUCCGGACGUGUUCUCGAACU